This 81-nucleotide transfer RNA is filed under the name Bos taurus (domestic cattle). It matches the Rfam family "tRNA". Rfam says of the family: Transfer RNA (tRNA) molecules are approximately 80 nucleotides in length. Their secondary structure includes four short double-helical elements and three loops (D, anti-codon, and T loops). Further hydrogen bonds mediate the characteristic L-shaped molecular structure. tRNAs have two regions of fundamental functional importance: the anti-codon, which is responsible for specific mRNA codon recognition, and the 3' end, to which the tRNAs corresponding amino acid is attached (by aminoacyl-tRNA synthetases). tRNAs cope with the degeneracy of the genetic code in two manners: having more than one tRNA (with a specific anti-codon) for a particular amino acid; and 'wobble' base-pairing, i.e. permitting non-standard base-pairing at the 3rd anti-codon position. Lineage: Eukaryota; Metazoa; Chordata; Mammalia; Artiodactyla; Bovidae. RNAcentral also lists the same sequence under 3 other names. The record is from Rfam by way of RNAcentral.
UCCCAGGUGGCUUACUGGUAAAGCAUCUGCCUACCAAUGUAGAAGAUGCAGGAGACGCAGGUUCGAUCCCUGGUUUGGGAA